RNAcentral lists this ribosomal RNA (585 nucleotides) under Pseudomonas sp. StFLB078. RNAcentral's name for it is "bacterial SSU rRNA". It matches the Rfam family "Bacterial small subunit ribosomal RNA", at positions 102 to 683 of the family's 1533-position model. Lineage: Bacteria; Pseudomonadati; Pseudomonadota; Gammaproteobacteria; Pseudomonadales; Pseudomonadaceae. The record is from RNAcentral. RNAcentral also lists the same sequence under 2 other names.
ACGGGUGAGUAAUGCCUAGGAAUCUGCCUGGUAGUGGGGGAUAACGCUCGGAAACGGACGCUAAUACCGCAUACGUCCUACGGGAGAAAGCAGGGGACCUUCGGGCCUUGCGCUAUCAGAUGAGCCUAGGUCGGAUUAGCUAGUUGGUGAGGUAAUGGCUCACCAAGGCGACGAUCCGUAACUGGUCUGAGAGGAUGAUCAGUCACACUGGAACUGAGACACGGUCCAGACUCCUACGGGAGGCAGCAGUGGGGAAUAUUGGACAAUGGGCGAAAGCCUGAUCCAGCCAUGCCGCGUGUGUGAAGAAGGUCUUCGGAUUGUAAAGCACUUUAAGUUGGGAGGAAGGGCAGUUACCUAAUACGUGAUUGUUUUGACGUUACCGACAGAAUAAGCACCGGCUAACUCUGUGCCAGCAGCCGCGGUAAUACAGAGGGUGCAAGCGUUAAUCGGAAUUACUGGGCGUAAAGCGCGCGUAGGUGGUUUGUUAAGUUGAAUGUGAAAUCCCCGGGCUCAACCUGGGAACUGCAUCCAAAACUGGCAAGCUAGAGUAUGGUAGAGGGUGGUGGAAUUUCCUGUGUAGCGGUG